AACCCAUGGUGAGGGCACCUUCGCAAUAGAUCCUUCUAUCUCUCCUAUGUGUUAUAAAGUGUUUCUAAAUCCAUCUGCACAAAAGAAGAGAUAUCAUUACGUAAUUU
This is a small nucleolar RNA of Gossypium arboreum, 107 nucleotides long. NCBI's taxonomy places the organism in Eukaryota, Viridiplantae, Streptophyta, Magnoliopsida, Malvales, Malvaceae. The record is from RefSeq and is a predicted model, not a curated record.